Molecule: ribosomal RNA, 400 nt
Filed under: uncultured bacterium
Lineage: Bacteria
Description: bacterial SSU rRNA
Rfam family: Bacterial small subunit ribosomal RNA
Source: RNAcentral
UGGGGAAUAUUGGGCAAUGGGCGCAAGCCUGACCCAGCCAUGCCGCGUGAGUGAUGAAGGCCUUCGGGUCGUAAAGCUCUGUGGGGAGGGACGAACAGCCAGGCGGUUAAUACCCGCAGGGUCUGACGGUACCUCCUUAGCAAGCACCGGCUAACUCCGUGCCAGCAGCCGCGGUAAUACGGAGGGUGCAAACGUUGCUCGGAAUUAUUGGGCGUAAAGCGCACGUAGGCGGUCUCGUAAGUCGGGUGUGAAAGCCCGGGGCUCAACCCCGGAAGUGCACUCGAAACUGCGAGGCUUGAGUACGGAAGAGGGUCUCGGAAUUCCCGGUGUAGAGGUGAAAUUCGUAGAUAUCGGGAGGAACACCAGUGGCGAAGGCGGAGACCUGGGCCGAUACUGACGC